Molecule: ribosomal RNA, 576 nt
Filed under: uncultured crenarchaeote
Lineage: Archaea; Thermoproteati; Thermoproteota
Description: bacterial SSU rRNA
Rfam family: Archaeal small subunit ribosomal RNA
Source: RNAcentral
AAGGGGUGGCAUACGGCUCACUAACACUUAGUCAACCUACCCUAGGGACGGGGAUAACCUCGGGAAACUGAGGCUAAACCCCGAUAGGCUAUAACUUCUGGAAUGAGCUAUAGCUUAAAUCUAUAUGGCCCUAGGAUGGGACUGCGGCCGAUCAGGUAGUUGGUGGGGUAAUGGCCCACCAAGCCUAUAACCGGUGCGGGCUCUGAGAGGAGGAGCCCGGAGAUGGGCACUGAGACAAGGGCCCAGGUCCUAUGGGGCGCAGCAGGCGCGAAACCUCCGCAAUGGGCAAAAGCCCGACGGGGUUAGUCCGAGUGGCUCCUGCUAAAGGAGUCUUUUGCCAGCUGUAAAAAGGCUGGAGAAUAAGGGGUGGGCAAGUUUGGUGUCAGCCGCCGCGGUAAUACCAGCACCCCGAGUGGUCGGGACGAUUAUUGGGCCUAAAGCAUCCGUAGCCGGUCUAACAAGUCCUCCGUUAAAUCCAACGGCUCAACCGUUGGGCUGCGAGGAUACUGUUAGACUAGGGGCGGGAGAGGCGAGGGUAUUCCCAGGUAGGGUAAAAUCCACUGAUCCUGGGAGACA